UUUUUCCUCUAUUUAUCUUUCCAAUCUUUCUGUUUUUGUCUGAUCUCAGAAGCCAAGCAGGGUUGGGCCUAGUCAGCACUUGGAUGGGAGAACAUCUGGGAACACCGGGUGCCGCAGGGU
This is a ribosomal RNA of Saimiri boliviensis boliviensis (Bolivian squirrel monkey), 120 nucleotides long. The record is from Ensembl. NCBI's taxonomy places the organism in Eukaryota, Metazoa, Chordata, Mammalia, Primates, Cebidae.